Molecule: long non-coding RNA, 913 nt
Filed under: Astyanax mexicanus (Mexican tetra)
Lineage: Eukaryota; Metazoa; Chordata; Actinopteri; Characiformes; Acestrorhamphidae
Description: lncRNA (ENSAMXG00005000049.1)
Source: RNAcentral
UUAUAACCCAAUUAGCUAUAGGUUAGGUAAGCAGAAGCUAAUUAGUGUUACUUUUAUUAUUAUUAUAUAAAUCGCCAUUUACACAUUUAUAACACUGAGGCAAAUGAUAACAGUAAACUAAGACUGUAUAAUACACUCGAGAAGAAAAAAAAAACAGAUUUCUCACGAAAAAUACAUUAAAAGUGUGGGUCAGCGCAUGCGUAGUGCUGUUAGGUAGCACACAUCGGCGAGUAGCACAGUUGGACAGAACGCCGGUAAACCCCGAAAACACGCGGUAAAGUGGUAACUCUCUUCUCUACAGACUCUGUGGUAUUAUUAUAUAUCUGGAUCCGCACAGAACAGCAAAAACAAGCGUCUUUAUUUCUGAUUUCUGGAGUAAAACCUCGAGUUCCGGGCUGAUAAACCCGCCGGCCGGUCCUGCAGGAGUUUAUAAUGGUCUGACUUCUGAUAAAAGCCGGUGCCUAUGUGGUGCGGAAGAUCUCUGCUGCUGUCAGAGAUGGAGAGCAGAAGGAACAGCCUCAGCUCCCAGCAUGCACCCUGGCAUCAGGCAAUAAGAAGAAGCACCAAAGUGAAAAACCUUUAAUGGCUGAGGCAGUAUCGACUCCAUCUUAUGAAGAUGCUGCAUCGUCCAUGCCAGCUACUACUGACACCUCGCUGCAGAAAUGCGGCUCAUGACUGAUACAGUAGAUAAAUCAUAUCUCUCUCUUUUCUCUUUUCUCUCUCUCUCUCUUUUCUCUCUCUCAUACGCACUGUGCUGUAGAUUAUGAAGGUCUGAUCAUCAACCUCUAACUCUGGGACUGUUCAGAUCUGAUUUUGUCCUACAGCUGCGAUAAGUUACCUCAUUAUACACUGAAUAUGAAUUGUAUUCAUGUUAAUGGAAAUGUCAUGACAUGAAAUAAAAUGACAAUACCUC